RNAcentral lists this ribosomal RNA (497 nucleotides) under uncultured bacterium. RNAcentral describes it as "partial 16S ribosomal RNA". It matches the Rfam family "Bacterial small subunit ribosomal RNA", at positions 28 to 507 of the family's 1533-position model. The record is from RNAcentral.
GAUGAACGCUGGCGGCGUGCCUAAUACAUGCAAGUCGAGCGAACAGACGAGGAGCUUGCUCCUCUGACGUUAGCGGCGGACGGGUGUGUAACACGUGGAUAACCUACCUAUAAGACUUGGAUAACUUCGGGAAACCGGAGCUAAUACCGGAUAAUAUAUUGAACCGCAUGGUUCAAUAGUGAAAGACGGUUUUGCUGUCACUUAUAGAUGGAUCCGCGCCGCAUUAGCUAGUUGGUAAGGUAACGGCUUACCAAGGCAACGAUGCGUAUCCGACCUGAGAGGGUGAGCGGCCACACUGGAACUGAGACACGGUCCAGACUCCUACGGGAGGCAGCAGUAGGGAAUCUUCCGCAAUGGGCGAAAGCCUGACGGAGCAACGCCGCGUGAGUGAUGAAGGUCUUCGGAUCGUAAAACUCUGUUAUUAGGGAAGAACAAAUGUGUAAGUAACUAUGCACGUCUUGACGGUACCUAAUCAGAAAGCCACGGCUAACUACGUG